RNAcentral lists this long non-coding RNA (511 nucleotides) under Mytilus galloprovincialis (Mediterranean mussel). Lineage: Eukaryota; Metazoa; Mollusca; Bivalvia; Mytilida; Mytilidae. The record is from RNAcentral.
GGGCUUUGCUCAUUGUUAAAGGCUUACGGGGUGACCUAUAGUUAUUAUUUCUGGGUCAUCUGGUCUCCUGUAUAGAAUUGUCUCAUUUCUACAUAAUGUACAUGUUAUUUAAACCCGUCCCCUUACAUCUAUAGUCUUCUUUUUUCUAAAGCCUGCAUAUAUUCUGGGUUUCUUUUUUACGAUUGAAUGUUGUUAAUUGACAGGUAGUUUUAAAGAGUUUUAAAUAUUCUUCCCCACAUAUGAUCAGAUCAAUGUUUUCGUACUUUAUAUAUGCAUGAAUAUGUACUAUGCUUGCUUUCUCAAUUAAAAUUGUGAUGUCACAAAAAAUUAAUAGCACGAAAAGCCCAUGAGAUGAGGAUAUUCUUCAGUUUUAAUAAAAUUUAUUAACUAGUAAAUUUAAAAUGUUCACUGCUGUGUAGAUAUUUAUAAAACUUCGAAGUAGUGAUCAAUUUCUUCACUAAUUGCGAUAAUUUCACGUUUCUUUCCCGAUCCAAUUUCCUAUUAUUUAGGU